GGGUUACUAGCUCAACGGCAGAGCGCGGGACUCUUAAUCCCUCGGUUCGGGGUUCGAAUCCCCGGUAACCCA
RNAcentral lists this transfer RNA (72 nucleotides) under Oxynema mangrovii CENA135. Its description in RNAcentral is "tRNA-Lys". It matches the Rfam family "tRNA". Rfam says of the family: Transfer RNA (tRNA) molecules are approximately 80 nucleotides in length. Their secondary structure includes four short double-helical elements and three loops (D, anti-codon, and T loops). Further hydrogen bonds mediate the characteristic L-shaped molecular structure. tRNAs have two regions of fundamental functional importance: the anti-codon, which is responsible for specific mRNA codon recognition, and the 3' end, to which the tRNAs corresponding amino acid is attached (by aminoacyl-tRNA synthetases). tRNAs cope with the degeneracy of the genetic code in two manners: having more than one tRNA (with a specific anti-codon) for a particular amino acid; and 'wobble' base-pairing, i.e. permitting non-standard base-pairing at the 3rd anti-codon position. Lineage: Bacteria; Bacillati; Cyanobacteriota; Cyanophyceae; Oscillatoriales; Oscillatoriaceae. The record is from RNAcentral. RNAcentral also lists the same sequence under 2 other names.